Molecule: ribosomal RNA, 440 nt
Filed under: uncultured bacterium
Lineage: Bacteria
Description: partial 16S ribosomal RNA
Rfam family: Bacterial small subunit ribosomal RNA
Source: RNAcentral
CCUACGGAGUGCAGCAGUGGGGGAUAUUGCACAAUGGGGGGAACCCUGAUGCAGCGACGCCGCGUGGGUGAAGAAGCGCCUCGGCGCGUAAAGCCCUGUCAGCAGGGAAGAAAAUGACGGUACCUGAAGAAGAAGCCCCGGCUAACUACGUGCCAGCAGCCGCGGUAAUACGUAGGGGGCAAGCGUUAUCCGGAUUUACUGGGUGUAAAGGGGGCGCAGACGGCGAUGCAAGCCAGGAGUGAAAGCCCGGGGCACAACCCCGGGACUGCUCUUGGAACUGCGUGGCUGGAGUGCAGGAGGGGCAGGCGGAAGUCCUGGUGUAGCGGUGAAAUGCGUAGAUAUCAGGAGGAACACCGGUGGCGAAGGCGGCCUGCUGGACUGCAACUGACGUUGAGGCCCGAAAGCGUGGGGAGCAAACAGGAUUAGAUACCCCAGUAGUC